AGCGAAAGGUGCUUGCACCUUUCAAGUGAGUGGCGAACGGGUGAGUAACACGUGGACAACCUGCCUCAAGGCUGGGGAUAACAUUUGGAAACAGAUGCUAAUACCGAAUAAAACUCAGUGUCGCAUGACACAAAGUUAAAAGGCGCUUUGGCGUCACCUAGAGAUGGAUCCGCGGUGCAUUAGUUAGUUGGUGGGGUAAAGGCCUACCAAGACAAUGAUGCAUAGCCGAGUUGAGAGACUGAUCGGCCACAUUGGGACUGAGACACGGCCCAAACUCCUACGGGAGGCUGCAGUAGGGAAUCUUCCACAAUGGGCGAAAGCCUGAUGGAGCAACGCCGCGUGUGUGAUGAAGGCUUUCGGGUCGUAAAGCACUGUUGUAUGGGAAGAACAGCUAGAAUAGGGAAUGAUUUUAGUUUGACGGUACCAUACCAGAAAGGGACGGCUAAAUACGUGCCAGCAGCCGCGGUAAUACGUAUGUCCCGAGCGUUAUCCGGAUUUAUUGGGCGUAAAGCGAGCGCAGACGGUUAAUUAAGUCUGAUGUGAAAGCCCGGAGCUCAACUCCGGAAUGGCAUUGGAAACUGGUUAACUUGAGUGCAGUAGAGGUAAGUGGAACUCCAUGUGUAGCGGUGGAAUGCGUAGAUAUAUGGAAGAACACCAGUGGCGAAGGCGGCUUACUGGACUGUAACUGACGUUGAGGCUCGAAAGUGUGGGUAGCAAACAGGAUUAGAUACCCUGGUAGUCCACACCGUAAACGAUGAACACUAGGUGUUAGGA
Molecule: ribosomal RNA, 774 nt
Filed under: Leuconostoc sp. BY3
Lineage: Bacteria; Bacillati; Bacillota; Bacilli; Lactobacillales; Lactobacillaceae
Description: bacterial SSU rRNA
Rfam family: Bacterial small subunit ribosomal RNA
Source: RNAcentral